RNAcentral lists this ribosomal RNA (464 nucleotides) under uncultured bacterium. RNAcentral describes it as "partial 16S ribosomal RNA". It matches the Rfam family "Bacterial small subunit ribosomal RNA", at positions 28 to 506 of the family's 1533-position model. The record is from RNAcentral.
GACGAACGCUGGCGGCGUGCUUAACACAUGCAAGUCGAACGGAAAGGCCCCCUUGUGGGGUACUCGAGUGGCGAACGGGUGAGUAAUACGUGAGUAACCUACUCUUGACUUUUUGAUAACUUCUGGAAACUGGGGCUACUACCGGCUAGGAGCUCCUGCUGCAUGGUGGGGGUUGGAAAGUUUUGGCGGUUGGGGAUGGGCUCGCGGCUUAUCAGCUUGUUGGUGGGGUAGUGGCUCACCAAGGCUUUGACGGGUAGCCGGCCUGAGAGGGUGACCGGCCACAUUGGAACUAAGAUACGGCCCAGACUCCUACGGGGGGCAGCAGGGGGGAAUAUUGCACAAUGGACGGAAGCCUGAUGCAGCAACGCCGCGUGCGGGAUGACGGCCUUCGGGUUGUAAACCGCUUUCGCCUGUAACGAGGCGGGGGUGACGGUAAUGGGUAAAGAAGCACCGGCUAACUACGU